Molecule: ribosomal RNA, 773 nt
Filed under: uncultured Neocallimastigales
Lineage: Eukaryota; Fungi; Neocallimastigomycota; Neocallimastigomycetes; Neocallimastigales
Description: partial large subunit ribosomal RNA
Rfam family: Eukaryotic large subunit ribosomal RNA
Source: RNAcentral
AUCUCUGUAGAGUCUGCAUAUCAAUAAGCGGAGGAAAAGAAACUAACAAGGAUUCCCUUAGUAACGGCGAGUGAAGCGGGAAGAGCUCAAAUUUGAAAUCUUCAAGGUUCUACCUUGACGAAUUGUAGUCUAAAGAAGUGUUUUCUGUUAGAUGAGUAGCAAAAGAUCCUUGGAAUGGGACAUCAUAGAGGGUGAGAAUCCCGUAUUUGGUUAUUCAUUCUAGCUUUGUGAUACACUUUCAAAGAGUCGGAUUGUUUGGGAAUGCAGUCCAAAAUGGGUGGUAAAUUUCAUCUAAAGCUAAAUAUUGGCGAGAGACCGAUAGCGAACAAGUACCGUGAGGGAAAGAUGAAAAGAACUUUGAAAAGAGAGUUAAACAGUACGUGAAAUUGUCAAAAGGGAAGCGUUUGACACCAGUGUUGUUUUUCCGAAAAUCAAUUACGAAUGGCUUGAUUUUGUGUUGUAUUGACCUUAUCAGCUUUCUUCACUUUUUUCGAGUCUUUCUUAAUGCACUUUUCGGUUAACAAGUCAACAUCAAUUUCUUUUGUUGUAAAAGAGUAUUCGGAAGGUGGCUUUCUUUUCGGAGAAAGUGUUUAUAGCCCUAUACUUCUACAAUCGGAGAGAUUGAGGUCUGCAGCGUAGAUCCUUCGGGGUUAGAUACACUUGUGCUAAGUUGUAGCUUUUCAUAGACAACUUGUUGACUAUGUUUAGUCAUGCGGCUUACUCGCUUGUGCUAUUUUACCUACGCUUAGGAUGUUGAACUACUGAGACAUAGA